This 1965-nucleotide long non-coding RNA is filed under the name Homo sapiens (human). Its description in RNAcentral is "HSALNT0401101". The record is from RNAcentral. Lineage: Eukaryota; Metazoa; Chordata; Mammalia; Primates; Hominidae.
UUGGCUGCCUCCAUGUCUCACUGUGGUUUUAUAUCCCCUGGCUUUUUGGCAGAAACAAAACUUUUAGAUUUGUCCUCAACUGAAAAUGUUUCAGCUGUGUGUGCAGGCGUCUUCAUGCUAUAGAAGAAGGAAUGGAACUGUGAAUGGUGGGAAAGGCUGAAGGAAGUAAUGGAGACCACGAUGCAGAAGUAGGUGCUCUUGCAAAGCAGUCCCGGGACAGAUAAAGGAAGCAAAGGCAGAGAACCCCAACGCCUUGGACACCUGCGGCUCCAGGUCAGAGAUGCACCUGCUAGUCCUGCCUCUACAGGACCCAACCCAUCAGUUCCUAGCUUGUCCUUCUGGUGAGAAUUGAGCACACUAUACUGUGGACAUAAAGACAAAAACCAGCAAGAAACUGAGCUCGGCUCCCUGGCUCACAUAGACAUGGAACAGAGAUCACAUCUGUGAGUGGAGGAGCCAGACUUUUCAUAUAAGCACAUGUAAAACUUUUGAAGUUGGCUGAUCCAAGAAUAGAUUCAAAUUCUUCAGCCAAGAGUCUAGACCAACUGACUUUUUCCACUUCAUUGCCUAGUUGACCCUUUGGGCCCGGAGCUCACGCACGCAGUUGAAGAUGUCCACCACCCCUUCAUUCUCGGCCAUGUCAAGCAUGGUGUCAAUGGCAAUGAAGCAGCCAGUCCGCCCAGCCCCAGCACUGGAAGAGAGCAAAUGGGUUGACGGAUGGAAGCAAAGAAGGAGAGGAGAGAGAACAGAGGGGAGAUGAAUGACAGGACAGAAACGAGAGUCCUCUGAGCUGUCCCCAAGACAGAGAGUGGUUGGUGGAGCACCACGUUCAAAGGCCGGCAUCUGGCUCCACCUGCAGCUGUUUUCGCAGGAUCGUGAAGCAAGAGUGUCAUGAAACUGGAGCAGCUGACCGUCCGGAGACCCUUGUCAGGGAUCAAGUUUCUUGAUACAUACUUACUUGAUUUCUGGUCACUAGUGGCUUCUUUAGGAGAAUCUCAGACCAAGUAUAAAAUGGUAGGGGAACUCAACGAGACUCUAUGGGCCUUGGCCAGCCCUUUCUAGAUCAGUGCUGGGCUCUGAAACAUCAGUGCUGACCAAGAGGCACGUAAGACAUGUGCCUUACACAUGUGCAGUUUUGGAUGGGAAGGCCGGGCAGCCUGUCAAGGAGGCCCCCUUCCGCUGCGUUUUCACAUCUUGCCUUUCUCAUGGAAACAAGUGUCUUUGUCUAACAAUGUAGAUGUCAAAAGACACACAAAGAGGAAGAGAGAUGGAACAAGACAAAAAAGCAAUAUUGGCUCAUGGUAAAUCCAAGGGGCACAGGCCAGUGCGGACCACUACCUACAACAAUUUGGAAAGUACACCCAUUGGAAGCAGAGUCUUCAUUCAUGAGAAACUUUCAUGGUUUGAAUGAAGUCUGACUUAAGUUUGCUUCAGAACCUACUCCCCAAAAUCCAGAUGCGGGGACUCAAGAGACUUGGCCUCUGUGUCUGGGAGGGAGUAUAGGGGGGGUCACUCGUGUUUUUUUCUUCAAUGUUCAUAUUCACCAUGCUUUAGUAUAAAGAAUCAGCCCAAUUUGGUUCCAAAUUUUGGAACAACUAUCAAUCAAUCAGCGGUGACCAAGUUGCCUAGUGUCCGUUUGUUUGUUAGCUUCAGAUUUCUGAUGCUUUUAACAUACCUCCCUGCAGGGUCCUUGUGAGGACAAAGCUGUGUUUAUUUCAUUUCAGCAUCACAUAGUAAUUGAACACAGGAUAUUUGAAAAGACCCCCUAGGAUUAAAUCCUGGCUCUAUUACUUAUUAGCUGCAUGACCUCGGGCAAAUGACUUAACCUCUCUGGGUUUCAAUACUCAUCUAUAAAAUGAUGUUGAUAAUAAUUAAAAUACUCACUCAUCUAUAAAAUGAUGUUGAUAAUAAUUAAUAGAUCCACCUCACAGCAUUAAUAGCACAAUAUGUAUAAAUUGGAUGAAA